AAUAAGCCAGAGUGUAACUACAGCAUCGGUUCUCACAAAGAUUUGUCUAGAGCUGCUGCAUAUGUCUUACUUGGACAUCUAAUAAGGCUCAGCCAGCAUGAUGUCACCAGUGCACUGGGCCAACCAGCCCUUCUGUGGGGUGGAAAGGUGAGCAAAGAAAAUGAAAAUGUAUUCCACUGUCUUCCAGCUCCCUUUAUUUCCAUCAAGAAAUCUGCUGUCAUAUCCUUUGUUGGUUAUUUUAGUUUUCACUUUCAUUCAGUUUUAAGUACUUUUCUUAAUCUUAUUCUACAGCUGUUAAUACAAUGUUUCUUGGCAGAUUUUUGGGUCAAUGUACUUAGGAUACAUUAUAGUUUCUGACCCUUAGUGAUGCUAUGGACAUUUGGCUUGGAACAGCUCAAUCUCUCCAAUUUCUUUUGUGUUCACUGUUUCAAGGUCUGGAUUUAGCUCAUUUUUUUUUUUUUUUUCAGGGAGAAAGUAAAUCUUCAGAUAUUUUAUUUUAUGAGAAUCCACAAUGCAAUUAAACAUUUAUUAUAUACAGUAUCUAGUUAUAUUUUAGUGGGAGCCCUUCAAAAUGCUGCCCAUUGAAAAUAUUCAGCCCAGAAUAUUUACCAUAAAUUCCAUGUCUGAAAUAACUAUAUUGUUAACAUACUGGAAUGGUAUAAAAUAAUUUUAAAGAUUAUCAAAACACCUGGC
This 693-nucleotide long non-coding RNA is filed under the name Sus scrofa (pig). Its description in RNAcentral is "lncRNA (ENSSSCG00035000327.1)". The record is from RNAcentral. Lineage: Eukaryota; Metazoa; Chordata; Mammalia; Artiodactyla; Suidae.